UUGAGCUUGCAGAGUGGACACCAUGAGCAAAGCUCACCCACUCCCAAGUUGAAACAAUUUAUGGACCAGAAAUUAUCACUGAAAUUAAAUGGUGGCGGACACAUCCAAGGAAUAUUGCAGGGGUUCAAUCCCUUUGUCAGUCUUGUGAUACACGAUGAAUGUGUGGAAAUGGCAACUAGUGGGCCACAGAACAAGAUUGGAAUGGUUGUAAUAUGAGGAAAUGGUAUCAUGUUAGAAGUCUUGGAACAAGUAUAAACAAUGGGUGUGUACUCUGGAAGAAAUCAACUGCUUCCACAUGUCCUCUCUCCAAAGCACCUGUUUUACUACAAUAUAAAAAUCAGGUCAUGUGCAUUUUCAUAUUGAACUUUUUUGUUAAGUAAACUUUUGCAAUAAUCAGAAUGCUUUCUCAGGCAUUGUGAAUGUAGAAAAUUGAAUAUUAGCUCAUAUUCUAAUUUUUUCUGACGUGAACUGCCCCUGUUUGAGACCAAUUUGUUCCAAAGCUUUUAUGCAUUAAUAUAGAAGCAACUAAUCAAAUGUGAAGCAUGGCAAGGAUGCCUUUUUUCCAUCUUUUAAUGGAAAGAUAAAGAACCUGCAAACCUGCAAACAAGUUUCUUCUGAAACAUUAAAUGUAAUUUUCAAAACUCUUGUAAUAGCUUUUGAACAUAAAUGGGGGAAAAUAUUUGAAUACAGGAAUAGAAAUAGAACUCGGGAGAAAAAGAAAAGGCAGACAAGGGGAAAAUAUUUGCAGCACAUAUAAACAGGCAGAGACUUACUAUCCAAAAUAAUUUUUUUAAAUUAAGAAAAAGAGUCUUGGGGCACCUGGGUGGCUCAGUCGUUAAGCAUAUGCCUUCGGCUCAGGUCA
Molecule: non-coding RNA, 862 nt
Organism: Leptonychotes weddellii (Weddell seal)
Lineage: Eukaryota; Metazoa; Chordata; Mammalia; Carnivora; Phocidae
Source: RefSeq, a predicted model, not a curated record